AUUGAACGCUGGCGGCAGGCCUAACACAUGCAAGUCGAACGAGUGGCGGACGGUUGAGUAAUGUCUGGGAAACUGCCCGAUGGAGGGGGAUAACUACUGGAAACGGUAGCUAAUACCGCAUACCAUCGGAUGUGCACAGAUGGGAUUAGCUUGUAGGUGAGGUAACGGCUCACCUAGGCGACGAUCCCUAGCUGGUCUGAGAGGAGGACCAGCCACACUGGAACUGAGACACGGUCCAGAAUCAUACGGUAGGCAGAAUUGGGGAAUAGUGCACAAUGGGCGCAAGGCUGAUGCAGCAAUGCGGCGUGUAUGAAGAAGGCGUUUGGGUUGUAAAGUACUUUCAGCGGGGAAGCGGUACCCGAAGAAGAAGCACCGGCUAACUCCGUGCCAGCCGAAGCGGUAAUUC
RNAcentral lists this ribosomal RNA (406 nucleotides) under uncultured bacterium. Its description in RNAcentral is "partial 16S ribosomal RNA". It matches the Rfam family "Bacterial small subunit ribosomal RNA", at positions 30 to 526 of the family's 1533-position model. The record is from RNAcentral.